This 599-nucleotide ribosomal RNA is filed under the name Mammaliicoccus sciuri. RNAcentral's name for it is "bacterial SSU rRNA". It matches the Rfam family "Bacterial small subunit ribosomal RNA", at positions 82 to 667 of the family's 1533-position model. Lineage: Bacteria; Bacillati; Bacillota; Bacilli; Caryophanales; Staphylococcaceae. The record is from RNAcentral.
UUCUCUGAUGUUAGCGGCGGACGGGUGAGUAACACGUGGGUAACCUACCUAUAAGACUGGGAUAACUCCGGGAAACCGGGGCUAAUACCGGAUAAUAUUUUGAACCGCAUGGUUCGAUAGUGAAAGACGGUUUCGGCUGUCACUUAUAGAUGGACCCGCGCCGUAUUAGCUAGUUGGUAAGGUAACGGCUUACCAAGGCGACGAUACGUAGCCGACCUGAGAGGGUGAUCGGCCACACUGGAACUGAGACACGGUCCAGACUCCUACGGGAGGCAGCAGUAGGGAAUCUUCCGCAAUGGGCGAAAGCCUGACGGAGCAACGCCGCGUGAGUGAUGAAGGUCUUCGGAUCGUAAAACUCUGUUGUUAGGGAAGAACAAAUUUGUUAGUAACUGAACAAGUCUUGACGGUACCUAACCAGAAAGCCACGGCUAACUACGUGCCAGCAGCCGCGGUAAUACGUAGGUGGCAAGCGUUAUCCGGAAUUAUUGGGCGUAAAGCGCGCGUAGGCGGUUUCUUAAGUCUGAUGUGAAAGCCCACGGCUCAACCGUGGAGGGUCAUUGGAAACUGGGAAACUUGAGUGCAGAAGAGGAGAGUGGAAU